UAUAGGUGGUUACAGUUGGUUC
This 22-nucleotide non-coding RNA is filed under the name Arabidopsis thaliana (thale cress). Lineage: Eukaryota; Viridiplantae; Streptophyta; Magnoliopsida; Brassicales; Brassicaceae. The record is from RNAcentral.